CCCUUAGAUGUUCUGGGCUGCACGCGCGCUACACUGAUACGUUCAACAAGUGUAACCUCCGCCGGCGGGUACUGGGGGAAAUCUUUUGAAAGCGUAUCGUGAUGGGGAUAGAUUAUUGUAAUUAUUAGUCUUCAACGAGGAAUUCCUAGUAAGCUCGGGUCAACAGCUCGUGCUGAUUACGUCCCUGCCCUUUGUACACACCGCCCGUCGCUCCUACCGAUUGAAUGGUCCGGUGAAGCGUUCGGACCGUGGCCUUUGGACGGUUCGCCGUCUGUUGGCUGCGGGAAGUUCGUUAAACCUUAUCAUUUAGAGGAAGGAGAAGUCGUAACA
RNAcentral lists this ribosomal RNA (330 nucleotides) under uncultured eukaryote. RNAcentral's name for it is "partial 18S ribosomal RNA". It matches the Rfam family "Eukaryotic small subunit ribosomal RNA", at positions 1470 to 1796 of the family's 1831-position model. The record is from RNAcentral.